CCUACGGGGGGCUGCAGUGGGGAAUAUUGGACAAUGGGGGUAACCCUGAUCCAGCCAUGCCGCGUGUGUGAAGAAGGCCCUCGGGUUGUAAAGCACUUUCAGUGAGGAAGAACGCCUGGUGGUUAAUACCCAUCAGGAAAGACAUCACUCACAGAAGAAGCACCGGCUAACUCCGUGCCAGCAGCCGCGGUAAUACGGCGGGUGCGAGCGUUAAUCGGAAUUACUGGGCGUAAAGCGCGCGUAGGUGGCUUGAUAAGCCGGUUGUGAAAGCCCCGGGCUCAACCUGGGAACGGCAUCCGGAACUGGCAAGCUAGAGUGCAGGAGAGGAAGGUAGAAUUCCCGGUGUAGCGGUGAAAUGCGUAGAGAUCGGGAGGAAUACCAGUGGCGAAGGCGGCCUUCUGGACUGACACUGACACUGAGGUGCGAAAGCGUGGGUAGCACACAGGAUUAGAUACCCUAGUAGGC
Molecule: ribosomal RNA, 465 nt
Filed under: Vreelandella stevensii
Lineage: Bacteria; Pseudomonadati; Pseudomonadota; Gammaproteobacteria; Oceanospirillales; Halomonadaceae
Description: partial 16S ribosomal RNA
Rfam family: Bacterial small subunit ribosomal RNA
Source: RNAcentral